Molecule: transfer RNA, 85 nt
Organism: Naegleria gruberi
Lineage: Eukaryota; Heterolobosea; Eutetramitea; Acrasida; Naegleriidae
Rfam family: tRNA
About the family: Transfer RNA (tRNA) molecules are approximately 80 nucleotides in length.
Source: Rfam
GGUGGGUUGGUCGAGUGGUCUAAGACGACACUAAGUAUUAUAACCGUGUUCCGAAAGGGCGUGGGUUCAAAUCCCGCACUCAUCA